CUACCCUUAAGCAUCAUAAUUACCCAGCCCUUUUUCGCUAGCCAACCCCAAGUAUUUAUUACAACUUAUUGCAAACUAGAAAUACUGAAUUACAAAAGAAAGAAUGAAAGAAAAAGCUACAAUCAUAGGAAAGCCUGAUUUGACUUCCUGUUUGAGAUAUGGAAUGAACUGUAUCAUUGCCAAUGCCAUUGAUUUCAAAGUCUUUCUCAGACCUGAGUGUGUCAGAGUUCCCUAAGGAUCUGAAAAGACCCCGGAUAGUGCUUACACCCAGAUUCAUAGAACCAGAUAAAGAUUAGUGCAGUGUGGAAGGGCCAGCCCUUAUGUGUCCAUGUUUAGAGGGAUCUCAUGGGUCCCAAGAAAAGCUCACACAAGAGGGGCAGAACUUAAGCCUAAGAAUGUGGUGAAAUCUUAGGAACAGAGUUUUAAAACUGUAGGGAGAAAGGAAUGGGGCAAAAAGGGUGAUAGGGAAACAAUAAUUAGUGAAACACAGAGUUAAUAACUUCAUACAAAGGGAUAGGGGGUUGGGAAUCCAUUGCAAGGAGCCUAUGUACUUAGGCAUGGAUCAUUUUGGGCAUGCACUACAAUAGUAGGUGCUGACAUACCUAUAAACCAAUCAGAACACACAACAAUUAGAGGAUACAAGGAUGUUAUGAUCCCAGGGGAUCAGGUUUGGGUCAUGCACAACAAUUUCUAAUGCUGUCAUGCCCCAAACUAACCACAUAUACUUAAAUAUAUUGGAGAUGGGGAUUUAGAAUUCACAAGUCAUAAUAAGUAAUUGACAAAAGCAUUAAUUCAGAACAGAAAAGGCAGGCUACAACAUGCUUAAUAAUGGAAUUUGGCUAAAUACAAAAAAGAGACAAACAAGGAUGAAAGAAACAGUGAAGAAAUAUGUUGUUGUUGAUGCAAAAGAUUAUCAGAAUAUACCGUAAAGAUGCAAAAUGCAAAAAUAAGCAAGCUUUCCAUGGCCUAGCCUUGGCUUUCAGCGGGCUAGGUAAGGCAACAGUACAAGUAGCAACAGAGAGAAGAGAUUUUAAUGGGGUGUGUGUCUGAAAACAAGUGUUUAUGCCUUGUGUUCA
This 1076-nucleotide long non-coding RNA is filed under the name Nicotiana benthamiana. Its description in RNAcentral is "long non-coding RNA (NBEN_LNC030069)". The record is from RNAcentral. Lineage: Eukaryota; Viridiplantae; Streptophyta; Magnoliopsida; Solanales; Solanaceae.